RNAcentral lists this ribosomal RNA (203 nucleotides) under uncultured bacterium. RNAcentral describes it as "partial 16S ribosomal RNA". It matches the Rfam family "Bacterial small subunit ribosomal RNA", at positions 328 to 539 of the family's 1533-position model. The record is from RNAcentral.
ACGCUCGACACCUACGGGAGGGCAGCAGUGGGGAAUAUUGGGCAAUGGGCGCAAGCCUGACCCAGCAACGCCGCGUGAGUGAUGAAGGUCUUCGGAUUGUAAAACUCUUUAAGCAGGGAAGAAGAAAGUGACGGUACCUGCAGAAUAAGCAUCGGCUAACUACGUGCCAGCAGCCGCGGUAAUCUGAGGCGGGCUGGCAAGGC